GAGAGCCGUAUGCGGUAAAAGCCGCACGUACGGUUCGGGAAGGGGGGUUGAAACGUCUCAGACGCUUGGCCCCCUACUUCAC
This 82-nucleotide non-coding RNA is filed under the name Melghirimyces profundicolus. Lineage: Bacteria; Bacillati; Bacillota; Bacilli; Caryophanales; Thermoactinomycetaceae. The record is from RNAcentral.